UUUUGUAUAAUGGGUCAGCGACUUAUAUUCUGUAGCAAGGUUAACCGAAUAGGGGAGCCGAAGGGAAACCGAGUCUUAACUGGGCGUUAAGUUGCAGGGUAUAGACCCGAAACCCGGUGAUCUAGCCAUGGGCAGGUUGAAGGUUGGGUAACACUAACUGGAGGACCGAACCGACUAAUGUUGAAAAAUUAGCGGAUGACUUGUGGCUGGGGGUGAAAGGCCAAUCAAACCGGGAGAUAGCUGGUUCUCCCCGAAAGCUAUUUAGGUAGCGCCUCGUGAAUUCAUCUCCGGGGGUAGAGCACUGUUUCGGCAAGGGGGUCAUCCCGACUUACCAACCCGAUGCAAACUGCGAAUACCGGAGAAUGUUAUCACGGGAGACACACGGCGGGUGCUAACGUCCGUCGUGAAGAGGGAAACAACCCAGACCGCCAGCUAAGGUCCCAAAGUCAUGGUUAAGUGGGAAACGAUGUGGGAAGGCCCAGACAGCCAGGAUGUUGGCUUAGAAGCAGCCAUCAUUUAAAGAAAGCGUAAUAGCUCACUGGUCGAGUCGGCCUGCGCGGAAGAUGUAACGGGGCUAAACCAUGCACCGAAGCUGCGGCAGCGACGCUUAUGCGUUGUUGGGUAGGGGAGCGUUCUGUAAGCCUGCGAAGGUGUGCUGUGAGGCAUGCUGGAGGUAUCAGAAGUGCGAAUGCUGACAUAAGUAACGAUAAAGCGGGUGAAAAGCCCGCUCGCCGGAAGACCAAGGGUUCCUGUCCAACGUUAAUCGGGGCAGGGUGAGUCGACCCCUAAGGCGAGGCCGAAAGGCGUAGUCGAUGGGAAACAGGUUAAUAUUCCUGUACUUGGUGUUACUGCGAAGGGGGGACGGAGAAGGCUAUGUUGGCCGGGCGACGGUUGUCCCGGUUUAAGCGUGUAGGCUGGUUUUCCAGGCAAAUCCGGAAAAUCAAGGCUGAGGCGUGAUGACGAGGCACUACGGUGCUGAAGCAACAAAUGCCCUGCUUCCAGGAAAAGCCUCUAAGCAUCAGGUAACAUCAAAUCGUACCCCAAACCGACACAGGUGGUCAGGUAGAGAAUACCAAGGCGCUUGAGAGAACUCGGGUGAAGGAACUAGGCAAAAUGGUGCCGUAACUUCGGGAGAAGGCACGCUGAUAUGUAGGUGAAGCGACUUGCUCGUGGAGCUGAAAUCAGUCGAAGAUACCAGCUGGCUGCAACUGUUUAUUAAAAACACAGCACUGUGCAAACACGAAAGUGGACGUAUACGGUGUGACGCCUGCCCGGUGCCGGAAGGUUAAUUGAUGGGGUUAGCGCAAGCGAAGCUCUUGAUCGAAGCCCCGGUAAACGGCGGCCGUAACUAUAACGGUCCUAAGGUAGCGAAAUUCCUUGUCGGGUAAGUUCCGACCUGCACGAAUGGCGUAAUGAUGGCCAGGCUGUCUCCACCCGAGACUCAGUGAAAUUGAACUCGCUGUGAAGAUGCAGUGUACCCGCGGCAAGACGGAAAGACCCCGUGAACCUUUACUAUAGCUUGACACUGAACAUUGAGCCUUGAUGUGUAGGAUAGGUGGGAGGCUUUGAAGUGUGGACGCCAGUCUGCAUGGAGCCGACCUUGAAAUACCACCCUUUAAUGUUUGAUGUUCUAACGUUGGCCCCUGAUCGGGGUUGCGGACAGUGUCUGGUGGGUAGUUUGACUGGGGCGGUCUCCUCCUAAAGAGUAACGGAGGAGCACGAAGGUUGGCUAAUCCUGGUCGGACAUCAGGAGGUUAGUGCAAUGGCAUAAGCCAGCUUGACUGCGAGCGUGACGGCGCGAGCAGGUGCGAAAGCAGGUCAUAGUGAUCCGGUGGUUCUGAAUGGAAGGGCCAUCGCUCAACGGAUAAAAGGUACUCCGGGGAUAACAGGCUGAUACCGCCCAAGAGUUCAUAUCGACGGCGGUGUUUGGCACCUCGAUGUCGGCUCAUCACAUCCUGGGGCUGAAGUAGGUCCCAAGGGUAUGGCUGUUCGCCAUUUAAAGUGGUACGCGAGCUGGGUUUAGAACGUCGUGAGACAGUUCGGUCCCUAUCUGCCGUGGGCGCUGGAGAACUGAGGGGGGCUGCUCCUAGUACGAGAGGACCGGAGUGGACGCAUCACUGGUGUUCGGGUUGUCAUGCCAAUGGCACUGCCCGGUAGCUAAAUGCGGAAGAGAUAAGUGCUGAAAGCAUCUAAGCACGAAACUUGCCCCGAGAUGAGUUCUCCCUGAGACUUUAAGUCUCCUGAAGGAACGUUGAAGACGACGACGUUGAUAGGCCGGGUGUGUAAGCGCAGCGAUGCGUUGAGCUAACCGGUACUAAUGAACCGUGAGG
Molecule: ribosomal RNA, 2330 nt
Filed under: Escherichia coli
Lineage: Bacteria; Pseudomonadati; Pseudomonadota; Gammaproteobacteria; Enterobacterales; Enterobacteriaceae
Description: partial 23S ribosomal RNA
Rfam family: Bacterial large subunit ribosomal RNA
Source: RNAcentral